GCAUAUCAAUAAGCGGAGGAAAAGAAAAUAACAAUGAUUCCCUUAGUAACGGCGAGUGAAGGGGGAUAAGCUCAAAUUUUAAAUCUGCUAGGUCUUACCUAUCAGAGUUGUAAUUUGAAGAAGCGUUUUCCGCGUCUCGGUUGACCCAAAUCCUUUGGGAUAUGGUAUCAUGGAGGGUGAGAAUCCCGUUCGGUUGACCUUGUGACGCUUUACGAUACGUUUUCUAAGAGUCGAGUUGUUUGGGAUUGCAGCUCAAAAUGGGAGGUAAAUUUCUCCUAAGGCUAAAUAUUGGCGAGAGACCGAUAGCGAACAAGUACCGUGAGGGAAAGAUGAAAAGAACUUUGAAAAGAGAGUAAAAUAGUACGUGAAAUUGUUGAAAGGGAAACGAUUGAAGUCAGUCGUACCGACGGAAAAUCAGCUCUUUAGUGCGGACUUGUGGGCUUACGUGAGUUUUAACACCUCGCUGUUUGCAACGUUCGUGCUUUUUGGGUGUACUUUUUCGUAUGGUAGGCCAAUGUCAGUUUCGAUCGCUAUAAAAUGACCGGCGGAAUGUAGCUUCGAUCUUGUAUUGAAGUGUUAUAGCCUCUGGUAGAUGUGGUGAUCGGGACUGAGGAUUGCAACGAAUACCUUUUGGGCUAUCCGUCUGAUCUCUGAAGGUUGCUUAGGUGCCGAAAGCGUGCUUACGGUUAUUUAAGUUGACAGUCAAAAGGUUAGAACGGAUUAUAUUCGUUAAGGAUGUUGACGUA
Molecule: ribosomal RNA, 746 nt
Filed under: uncultured Glomerales
Lineage: Eukaryota; Fungi; Glomeromycota; Glomeromycetes; Glomerales; Glomeraceae
Description: LSU rRNA
Rfam family: Eukaryotic large subunit ribosomal RNA
Source: RNAcentral